This 200-nucleotide ribosomal RNA is filed under the name uncultured bacterium. RNAcentral describes it as "partial 16S ribosomal RNA". It matches the Rfam family "Bacterial small subunit ribosomal RNA", at positions 28 to 224 of the family's 1533-position model. The record is from RNAcentral.
GACGAACGCUGGCGGCGUGCUUAACACAUGCAAGUCGAACGAUGAACCCGAGAGCUUGCUCUUGGGGGAUUAGUGGCGAACGGGUGAGUAACACGUGAGUAACCUGCCCUUGACUCUGGGAUAAGCGUUGGAAACGACGUCUAAUACCGGAUAUGACCUAUGACGGCAUCGUCUGUAGGUGGAAAGAAUUUUGGUCAAGG